AGAGUUUGAUCAUGGCUCAGGAUGAACGCUGGCGGCGUGCCUAACACAUGCAAGUCGAGCGGGAGUAUGCAAGCAGAGAUUCGUCAAAGUGUGCAUACGAGAGCGGCGGACGGGUGAGUAACGCGUAGGUAACCUACCUUAAGCUGAGGGAUAACCCAGGGAAACCCGGGAUAAUACCACAUAAUGCGGAGGAGUCACAUGGCUUCAUCGCCAAAGAUUUAUCGGCAUAAGAUGGACCUGCGUCUGAUUAGCCAGUUGGUGGGGUAACGGCCUACCAAAGCGACGAUCAGUAGCCGACCUGAGAGGGUGAUCGGCCACAUUGGAACUGAGACACGGUCCAAACUCCUACGGGAGGCAGCAGUGGGGAAUAUUGCACAAUGGGCGCAAGCCUGAUGCAGCAACGCCGCGUGAGCGAAGAAGGUCUUCGGAUCGUAAAGCUCUGUCCUAAGGGACGAAGAAGUGACGGUACCUUAGGAGGAAGCCCCGGCUAACUACGUGCCAGCAGCCGCGGUAAUACGUAGGGGGCGAGCGUUAUCCGGAAUUAUUGGGCGUAAAGAGUACGUAGGUGGCCACCUAAGCGCAAGGUGAAAGCCCGGGGCUUAACCCCGGCGAGCCUUGUGAACUGGGCGGCUUGAGUGCAGGAGGGGAAAGUGGAAUUCCUGGUGUAGCGGUGAAAUGCGUAGAUAUCAGGAGGAACACCGGUGGCGAAGGCGACUUUCUGGACUGUAACUGACACUGAGGUACGAAAGCGUGGGGAGCAAACAGGAUUAGAUACCCUGGUAGUCCACGCCGUAAACGAUGAGCACUAGGUGUUGGCGUAGAAAUACGUCGGUGCCGAAGUUAACGCAUUAAGUGCUCCGCCUGGGGAGUACGCACGCAAGUGUGAAACUCAAAGGAAUUGACGGGGACCCGCACAAGCAGCGGAGCAUGUGGUUUAAUUCGACGCAACGCGAAGAACCUUACCAGGGCUUGACAUCCUCUUGCAAAGCUGGGUAAAACCGGCUCCUCCUUCGGGACAAGAGAGACAGGUGGUGCAUGGUUGUCGUCAGCUCGUGUCGUGAGAUGUUGGGUUAAGUCCCGCAACGAGCGCAACCCUUGCCUUUAGUUGCCAGCACGUAUGGGUGGGCACUCUAGAGGGACUGCCGGGGACAACUCGGAGGAAGGUGGGGAUGACGUCAAAUCAUCAUGCCCCUUAUGUUCUGGGCUACACACGUGCUACAAUGGUCGGUACAGAGAGACGCAAAGCAGCGAUGCGGAGCCAAACUCUAAAACCGAUCCCAGUUCGGACUGCAGGCUGCAACCCGCCUGCACGAAGUCGGAGUUGCUAGUAAUCGCGAAUCAGAACGUCGCGGUGAAUGCGUUCCCGGGUCUUGUACACACCGCCCGUCACACCAUGGAAGUUGGGGGCGCCCGAAGUUGGGCAAAGCUUACCUAAGGCGAAACCAAUGACUGGGGUGAAGUCGUAACAAGGUAGC
Molecule: ribosomal RNA, 1475 nt
Filed under: uncultured rumen bacterium
Lineage: Bacteria
Description: 16S ribosomal RNA
Rfam family: Bacterial small subunit ribosomal RNA
Source: RNAcentral